Molecule: ribosomal RNA, 450 nt
Filed under: uncultured bacterium
Lineage: Bacteria
Description: partial 16S ribosomal RNA
Rfam family: Bacterial small subunit ribosomal RNA
Source: RNAcentral
CCUACGGGUGGCAGCAGUGGGGAAUUUUGGACAAUGGGCGCAAGCCUGAUCCAGCCAUUCCGCGUGAGUGAAGAAGGCCUUCGGGUUGUAAAGCUCUUUCGCAAGGGAAGAAAACUUAUCCUCUAACAUAGGAUGAGGUUGACGGUACCUUGAUAAGAAGCACCGGCUAACUACGUGCCAGCAGCCGCGGUAAUACGUAGGGUGCGAGCGUUAAUCAGAAUUUCUGGGCGUUGUGCGUGAGGUCAGAUGUGAAAUCCCCGAGCUCGACUUGGGAACUGCGUUUGAAACUACAAGACUAGAAUAGGUCAGAGGGGGGUAGAAUUCCACGUGUAGCAGUGAAAUGCGUAGAGAUGUGGAGGAAUAUCAAUGGCGAAGGCAGCCCCCUGGGAUCAUAUUGACGCUCAUGCACGAAAGCGUGGGGAGCAAACAGGAUUAGAUACCCCGGUAGUC